RNAcentral lists this unclassified non-coding RNA (282 nucleotides) under Hevea brasiliensis (rubber tree). The record is from RNAcentral. Lineage: Eukaryota; Viridiplantae; Streptophyta; Magnoliopsida; Malpighiales; Euphorbiaceae.
GCUUGAUCUGAUCUGGGUACUUCUAAUUUCAUGUUGAUGUUAGCUUUGCCUUUUCAUUUUAUUAUGUUAUUGGUACAUGAUGGAUUGCUUUCAUAAAAAUUUUAGAGCUUUAGAUUUCAGGCUUUUCUUUCUUGUAGACCCCACCAGUUUUUGAUUCAAUUUGUAAAGGGUACCAAUCUCUUUAAUGAAAAGAAAUCUUCUUAUCAAUUUGAUCACUGGGGUUCGAUCUGGUUGAUUGGGGUUGAGUAGUUAGAGAGUUUGGAGUGUUAUUGCCAAUUUGGG